This 488-nucleotide ribosomal RNA is filed under the name uncultured Glomus. RNAcentral describes it as "SSU rRNA". It matches the Rfam family "Eukaryotic small subunit ribosomal RNA", at positions 569 to 1060 of the family's 1831-position model. The record is from RNAcentral. Lineage: Eukaryota; Fungi; Glomeromycota; Glomeromycetes; Glomerales; Glomeraceae.
AGCAGCCGCGGUAAUUCCAGCUCCAAUAGCGUAUAUUAAAGUUGUUGCAGUUAAAAAGCUCGUAGUUGAAUUUCGGGAUCAAUGUUUCGGUCAUGCCGUUGGUAUGUACUGAUAUUAUUGGUUUCUCACCUUCUAAAGAACCGUAAUACCAUUAAUUUGGUGUCACGGGGAAUUAGGACUGUUACCUUGAAAAAAUUAGAGUGUUUAAAGCAGGCUCACGCUUGAAUACAUUAGCAUGGAAUAAUGAAAUAGGACAUCCGAUUCUAUUUUGUUGGUUUCUAGGAUCGAUGUAAUGAUUAAUAGGGAUAGUUGGGGGCAUUAGUAUUCAAUUGUCAGAGGUGAAAUUCUUGGAUUUAUUGAAGACUAACUACUGCGAAAGCAUUUGCCAAGGAUGUUUUCAUUAAUCAAGAACGAAAGUUAGGGGAUCGAAGACGAUCAGAUACCGUCGUAGUCUUAACCAUAAACUAUGCCGACUAGGGAUCGGAUGA